This 307-nucleotide long non-coding RNA is filed under the name Physcomitrium patens. RNAcentral's name for it is "long non-coding RNA (PPAT_LNC010054)". The record is from RNAcentral. Lineage: Eukaryota; Viridiplantae; Streptophyta; Bryopsida; Funariales; Funariaceae.
UAUCUUCUUUCAUGCAAAGAAGAUGAGCCUUCAUGCACCUCUUGCUGCCUUCUAUGGCUCAUACACUUCCUUCUCUCAUUCAUUGGUUGAUAUUCUUCAUCUUCAUUCUCUUCAUUGUCCUUGUUGUAUCUUGUUGGAAUUGAAGUCUUUAUAGAGUUGGGCUCUUCUUCAAUGAUAUCUUCAUUUCCAUCUUCACUUUGAGAAUGCUCUUCUUCAUCUUCUUCUUUGUUUGCUGAAAUUGAAGAUGUGUCCACAAACACACCACUACUCCCACUUGGACACAUCUCCCACUUUUCACUUGCACUCU